Molecule: non-coding RNA, 74 nt
Organism: Myotis brandtii (Brandt's bat)
Lineage: Eukaryota; Metazoa; Chordata; Mammalia; Chiroptera; Vespertilionidae
Source: Rfam
GGUCAGUUCUCGGUGAUGCACCCUGGAAUCGGCUCCCUCCUCUCUGGUUCAGGGUGUGUCACCCGAGAACCACC